GAUGCAGAUCGACUAUGUUGAAUAAAUUCUAGGUAGAAUUAUGAUAAUGACAUUGUCUGCCUAUGUGUCUUGACCAAUUUACGUGCCUGCWRUCGCGGUAAUACGUAGAAGACUAGUGUUAUUCAUGUUUAAUCGGUUUAAAGGGUACCUAGACGGUAGAUCAAGCUUUCUAAUAAAGGAAAAGGACUAAUUUACUAGAGUUACUUAUGAGGGGGUAUUAAAGUACUGCUGGUGUAGAGAUGAAAUUCUGUCAUACCUCUUUUCAAAAGAAAAACCAUGGCACAGGUAUAGGCGAAGGCAUCCCCUUAUGUGAUAACUGACGUUGAGGGACGAAGGCUUUGUGUAGCGAACAGGAUUAGAUACCCCAGUAGUCGAAGCAGAAAAUGAUGAAUGUCAUAGAUUAGAUAUAUAAGUUUAUUCUAUAAAUGAAAGUGUAAGCAUUCCACCUCAUGAGUAAUUUGGCAACAUUGGAACUGAAAUCAUUAGACCGUUUCUGAAACCAGUAGUGAAGUAUGUUGUUUAAUUUGAUGUUCCGCAAAAAACCUUACCACAAUUUGAAUAUUUAUAUUGUUUAUUGUUUUAUUAUUAAUUUUCUUGAACGUAAAAGAAAAGAGAGAUGUAGGAUAAUAGUAAGAAAAUUAAGAAACAAGCAAUAAGAUAUAAUUACAAGCGUUGCACGGCUGUCUUCAGUUAAUGUCGCGAGACUUUGGUUAGUUCCAUUAAAUUAACGUAAACCCUUACUUUAUUUUUAUAUAGAGUAGUUCCCCGCUAUAKUGGAUAUGAUAACA
This 788-nucleotide ribosomal RNA is filed under the name Xanthoparmelia sp. RNAcentral's name for it is "SSU rRNA". It matches the Rfam family "Bacterial small subunit ribosomal RNA", at positions 404 to 1150 of the family's 1533-position model. The record is from RNAcentral. Lineage: Eukaryota; Fungi; Ascomycota; Lecanoromycetes; Lecanorales; Parmeliaceae.